RNAcentral lists this transfer RNA (65 nucleotides) under zebrafish metagenome. It matches the Rfam family "tRNA", at positions 5 to 66 of the family's 71-position model. Rfam says of the family: Transfer RNA (tRNA) molecules are approximately 80 nucleotides in length. Their secondary structure includes four short double-helical elements and three loops (D, anti-codon, and T loops). The record is from RNAcentral. RNAcentral also lists the same sequence under 1 other name.
CUUUAGCUCAGUCGGUAGAGCAUCUCACUUUUAAUGAGAGGGUCGAUGGUUCGAGUCCAUCAAGU